UGGGGAAUAUUGGGCAAUGGGCGAAAGCCUGACCCAGCAACGCCGCGUGAAGGAAGAAGGUCUUUGGAUUGUAAACUUUUGUCCUAUGGGAAGAAGGAAGUGACGGUACCAUGGGAGGAAGCCCCGGCUAACUACGUGCCAGCAGCCGCGGUAAUACGUAGGGGGCGAGCGUUGUCCGGAAUUACUGGGCGUAAAGGGCGCGCAGGCGGCCGAUCAAGUUAGAUGUGAAUACCUGGGCUUAACCCUGGGAACUGCAUUUAAAACUGGUUGGCUAGGAGUGCAGGAGAGGGAAGCGGAAUUCCUAGUGUAGCGGUGAAAUGCGUAGAUAUUAGGAGGAACACCAGUGGCGAAGGCGGCUUUCUGGACUGUAACUGACGCUGAGGCGCGAAAGCGUGGGGAGCGAACAGGAUUAGAUACC
This 418-nucleotide ribosomal RNA is filed under the name uncultured bacterium. RNAcentral's name for it is "bacterial SSU rRNA". It matches the Rfam family "Bacterial small subunit ribosomal RNA", at positions 355 to 786 of the family's 1533-position model. The record is from RNAcentral.